Molecule: RNA transcript, 1319 nt
Organism: Eupeodes corollae
Lineage: Eukaryota; Metazoa; Arthropoda; Insecta; Diptera; Syrphidae
Gene name: transmembrane protein 208
Exons: 5
Source: RefSeq, a predicted model, not a curated record
UAUUUCAAUCAGAAAUUUAUUUGCAAUAAUCGGUAUUAUUGAUCGUUCAAAAAAUUUGCAAUGAUCGUUUUCGAUCGUAGUUAAAAAUUCCGAAUAUAUGACACUGGUAUUAUUCAAAUUUGAAGCACUCUGGUCACCAUCUCUCAAAAUCCGCUAACAUCUCAAGCACAUCCCUGCACCAUUCUCUUAAGAGCUGUCCCUGUCACUAGAAAUAGAAACAGAAACGUCAAAAACGUGUUGACGCGUGUCAUCAAUGAAUUUUGGUCUCAAUUCAACUCAAAACUCGAACGAAAGUGCUAAUUCGCGAUUAAAUUCUUUUUCGUGAAUCUGUACUUGAGUUUUCCCAAGUCAACCUUUAAUUUUAUCAAAAAACGAAACAAAACAAAUUACUAACCUAAUUUAACCAACUCAAAUAUUCCCUCCAUCAUUUGAAGUCUCCAAAAUGUCUCCACCAAAAGGAAAACAAGGCACCAAAGGGGCAAAACAAAUUGUCGAAGAAAACACUGCAACAUUGAGCUUCUAUAGAAAUAUGGCUUUGGGUAGUACGGCUGCCUCCUUGCUCCUCAAUGUUAUCUUCUUUGAGUUUGGCAAAUUGGCUGUGAUUAUGUCUGUGAUAACAAUUGCAACCCUUGUGGCUGCCUAUCAAUUCAUGGCAUUCAUGUCAAAGGCCAAAUUCUCAGAGACAGGGGCAAUUCUCAGUUCGGGAAAUGAUCUUAACAUGGAAGGCGGUAUAGCUGAAAAUGCCAAGGAUUUAAUAAUUCUCAGCUCAGGAACUCUGCUCUUGACACUCCUGUCCAACUACUUCUGGUUCUUGCUUCUGUUGGUGCCGAUCCGAGCCGUCUGGAUGCUCUGGGGAUCCGUCAUCCAACCCUGGCUGGCACAACGCAACGAAGCCGAACCAGAGCCCGACGAGAAGAAACAGCGCAAGAUGGAAAGGAAAAUGCGCCGCAUGAGAUGAAAAUAACUUCCCAUCCAGCGCUCCAUGCGAUCCACUAAGUCAUAGAAUUAAAGAUCAAACAAAAAGAAAACAAACUCUUGAACCAAUGGAAGCGGCUUCCCCUGGCGCAGACCAUAGCUUUUAUAGUAUAGUUCUAGAGAGAGCUGUGUUGGAAACAACGGAACCUUCAAGUCAUCCCAAAGGCCAAACUUAUAAUAUUUAUUAUUUUCCCUUUGAUAUUGUUUUCAUAUUUUCAAUUAAUUGUGUCGUCCAAGCCAAGCCAUUGAGUUUCUAUUACCGGGGAUUUAGGAUAAAGAAACAAAAACAAAAAUAAUAAUAAAAACUUCCUUAAAAACGCUUUUUAGAAAAAAGAAUCAAAGAA